CGGCGGCGGCGGGCGCCUCGAGGCCCCGAGCCGGGGUCGCUGCGGCCGCUGCCGCCGCGGCGGAGGAGUCGUCGGACAGCGAGCCGGAGCAGGAGCCGGGCUCUCCACACAAGCUCAUCCGCAAGGUCUCCACCUCCGGCCAGAUCCGCCAGAAGAGCAGUCAAGUCAGUCCCUGCAGUCCGGCAUGGGCAAGCCUAAUGCAGGAGAAGGAACCACUGCUGGAAAUGUGGCCUUGAGGGUCUCUCCAUCCAAACUGGUGGAGUGGCUCAGCCAGAUUAAGAGGAAAAGGAGGAAGACAUGGGAUGAUGUGUUUCAACAGAUCCUGCAAACCUCAGCUGCUUUGGAUACUGAACACACGUCUUGGAGGAUCACUUUUGCAGAUAGAAUGGAUAGGAAUAUAGCGGAGAGAAGAAAAGCACAGGGAAAGGAGUGUGAUGUACAGCAAGAGAUGCGAGUGCUUCUCAAGAGGCAAACAGACAUGCUGGAGACUUCAGGUUCAACAGACCUAUGCUUGCCUCCCUCCUUCAUAGCGCAGGGUUCUCAACCACUGUUGCGCCAUAAAAGUGCAUCACGGCGCAGUAGCUGAGUGUGUCGCAUGAAAGCAGCCUGCUACUGACAGCCCGAGGAAAGCUGCGGUGGCAGGCUGAUUUUACGCCACUGGCCCUUUAAGAGCUGAAGCAGCGGUGGCUCUCUGCAAGAGAAUCGGCUGUUCCGCAGUGGUGGGGACUGCUGAUCAAGCCUCCCAGCAUCGAAAAAUCCCUUCAGAGGAAGAUUUCUUCGUCCGCAGGGGCUACUGUGGCUUGACCCGCUGCUGGAACUUCAAUGGCGGGGAGAGCAACCACAGCAGGGUGUGUUGUACACAGCUGGGAGCUUGAAAACCCGUGCCAUAGAGAACUGAAUUCCAGGACUUCCUUGCACAGAUCUCUCUCCCAUUCCACUUGGCAUCUUGAGAAGUUGCAUUACCCCUAUCACUUCACCUCGGGGCAGAGGUCAGACAAUCACAGCUGCACAAAAAAUGACCUGUGAAAGAUACAGUUGGUGUGUAUGUUGGUGAAAUGAAAAUGACUCUUCUUUCCCUUUCAAAGGUUCUUUUCUCUGGAUUUAUAAAGUUUCAUUCAUAUUCAUUCAGUUAUAAACAUGUUCGAUUGCAUGGGUUUGGAAUAAAUAUCUAUGGAAACGGAAUUCAUCUUUAUUAGUUUACAACGUAUGCUGGUUGGGGCUGGCAUCCACAGAUAAUAGGUCUAGGUGCAUUUGCAAUGUUAUAGUAUUGCACACAGCACAUAUUACAAGGAUCAUACCAGGGACCAGAAGAGCAAUGUCUGUUAGAGCAUACUGCAGCAACACACAUUACGAAGGCACACUAUUAAAAUGGUCUUUCAAAGCCUCCCUGAGCCAUAUAGCUCCCCAUUGAGCUUUUAUAGCCCUGGUAUCUGUUUGCACAAUGUCAGCUGACAGCCAUGCCACCUCUGUCCUCCAUUUUGGUGGAAACUUUUC
Pelusios castaneus (West African mud turtle) is the source of this 1494-nucleotide long non-coding RNA. The record is from Ensembl. Lineage: Eukaryota; Metazoa; Chordata; Testudines; Pelomedusidae.